GGGUAGAGGAAAUGUGCCAGAGGAGAGGGAGAGAUUGAAAAUUUUAGUGAGAGGCAGAGCAAGAGAAAGAGACAAAGUGCAGAUGAGAUACGAGGGAAUAGGAUCGAGGGAAGAGGUGGUGGGGCACGGAGCAGAGCAGAAACCUCUUCUGCUUUAGUGGGUGCAAAUGAACAUAGGACAGCUGAGGGAGUGUAGUUAGGUGAAAAGUUAGUAGUGGAUGGAGAGAGAUGAGAGAUCUCUUCCCUGAUUGUAGAAAUCUUCUCAGUGAAGUGAGUUGCAAAGUUCGAGGCGGUCAAGUUGGAAGGAGGCACGACAGGGCACAGAAGAGAGUUAAAAGCAUGAAACAGUCAUUUGGGCUAGCGGGAGAGUGUGGUUAUGAGUGUAUUGAAGAAGUUUUCUUUUGAAGAGGAAAGAGCCAGACUGUAGGAGCGCAGCAUAAAUAUGUAGUGGAGACAGUCAGACGCAGAGUGAGAUUUUCU
Non-coding RNA from Pelobates cultripes (western spadefoot toad), 479 nucleotides. The record is from the annotation of a GenBank genome assembly. Lineage: Eukaryota; Metazoa; Chordata; Amphibia; Anura; Pelobatidae.